UACGGGGGGUCCAAGCGUUAAUCGGAAUUACUGGGCGUAAAGGGUUCGUAGGUGGUUUAUUAAGUUAUCUGUAAAAUCCCUGGGCUCAACCUGGGCAGGUCAGAUAAGACUGGUAGACUCGAGUAUAGGAGAGGGUAGUGGAAUUUCCGGUGUAGCGGUGAAAUGCGUAGAGAUCGGAAGGAACACCAGUGGCGAAGGCGGCUACCUGGCCCAAUACUGACGCUGAGGAACGAAAGCGUGGGGAGCAAACAGG
This 253-nucleotide ribosomal RNA is filed under the name uncultured bacterium. Its description in RNAcentral is "partial 16S ribosomal RNA". It matches the Rfam family "Bacterial small subunit ribosomal RNA", at positions 524 to 776 of the family's 1533-position model. The record is from RNAcentral.